AAGUGUCCUUUAAUAGGGAAGUGAACAGAAGUGUCCUUUAAUAGGGAAGCAAACAAACACUGUUGUGGUGUCUUCAGCAGAAGAGUCCUUUAAUAGGGAAGUGAACACUGUUGUGGUGUCUUCAGCAGAAGAGUCCUUUAAUAGGGAAGCAAACACUGGGUGGUGUCUUCAGCAGAAGAGUCAUUUAAUAGGGAAGUGAACAAACACUGUGUGGUGUCUUCAGCAGAAGAGAAGAGUCCUUUAAUAGGGAAGUAAACAGUGUUGUGGUGUCUUCAGCAGAAGAGUCCUUUAAUAGGGAACCAAACACUGUUUGGUGUCUUCAGCAGAAGAGUCCUUUAAUAGGGAAGCAAACACUGUUGUGGUGUCUUCAGCAGAAGAGUCCUUUAAUAGGGAAGUGAACACUGUUGUGUCUUCAGCAGAAGAGUCCUUUAAUAGGGAAGUAAACAAACACUGUUGUGGUGUCUUCAGCAGAAUAGAAGAGUCCUUUAAUAGGGAAGUAACCAAACACUGUUGUGGUGUCUUCAGCAGAAGAGAAGUGUCCUUUAAUAGGGAAGUAACCAAACACUGUUGUGGUGUCUUCAGCAGAAGAGUCCUUUAAUAGGGAAGCAAACACUGUUGUGGUGUCUUCAGCAGAAGAGUCCUUUAAUAGGGAAGCAAACACUGUUGUGGUGUCUUCAGCAGAAGAGAAGAGUCCUUUAAUAGGGAAGUAAACACUGUUGUGGUGUCUUCAGCAGAAGAGUCCUUUAAUAGGGAAGUAGCAGAAGAGUCCUUUAAUAGGGAAGCAAACACUGUUUGGUGUCUUCAGCAGAAGUCACUUCAGCCCUCAGUCGACAUGAGCCCUGCUGAGUUCAGGGAGGGAGAGAGCGAAAGAUGGAGUGAAGCAUGGGGAGGGAGAGAGUGCAUGAUGGAGAGAAGCUCUCUUUGUAGUGGAAGAGAGAGAGAAAAGAGAGGACAGAGAUGUGGAGCAGAGAGAGAGAGAGCCUGCUGUGAACAGUGGGAAGAGACAGGAAAAGAUGCAGGUGAUGUGUGAGAGAAAAAGAAAAAGAAAGAGAAAGAGAGAGUUGCUGGACAGAGAAAGAGAGAGAAAGAAAGAGAAAGUUGAGGGUGAGAGAACAGAGGGAUGCAGGGUGGAAGUCAAGAGUAGCGAGAAGUAGGAGAACAAACAGAAAGAGAGAAGGAGGGAGAGAGAGAGAGUAAGGGCCGGGAGAAGGGGGUGGUAAUGACAGCACGAGGGCAAGCCAGAGCUCCGGCAGAGAUGAAGAAAGCACAGCACUUUAAAAAAAGAAAGAACGAAAGAAAGAAAGAAAAAGAGAAAUAGGGGAAUAGAGGAAAAGAGUGAAGUGGG
Clupea harengus (Atlantic herring) is the source of this 1345-nucleotide long non-coding RNA. The record is from Ensembl. NCBI's taxonomy places the organism in Eukaryota, Metazoa, Chordata, Actinopteri, Clupeiformes, Clupeidae.